GCGUUUUGACGUUUCCUAUCUCCUCUCCGUUGGAGCGUUUUCUCUCCUCUCUUCCAGCGUCGUUCCCUCUCCUCUCUCCGUUUCAUAUGGCCUCUCCCUUCUCCGCCGCAUCAUUCUUCUACCCUAAUCUGUUACAUAUAUAGAUGCUCGAUCCGUUUUUGAUCAAUUCCUCUACCUUCCAUGCCCAUUUGUCUAUCCCACUUAAGCUGUUACAUCCCUCCUCCUCACUGCUAUGCAUUUGCCUAUAUAAUCCAUCUAUGCAAUCCAAAAUUAAACACUGUACGUACAACGACAGUAAGGAAUGGGAAACCGAUGGCUUUUUCGUGUGGCAGUCAUUCUAUUUUCUGCUCCUUUGUUACCUCUAUGCUUAACCUCCAAAUGUCAACAAUAACAGGCACCACCAUUGCACAAGAGGAUGUAACCAAAUCAUGGAAGUUAUUGCAUGUUGGGGCUCACCUUCUUUAAAGCCAAUCAUAACAAAGAGGAUGCUGCAAUGAUUGUUAUCGGGAGGCUUCGCAAUGAGCUAGACUUAGAAGUUAAGGACACCAAUUAGGAAGAAAGAAAUAUUUAAGAGGUUUAGACAAUCAGAUUUGUUGGAACAUGAAGAGUUUUGCGAUGAAUACGAGAUGCUUAAGUUGGAUUACGACCUUCUCAGAAGGUUCUAUAAUUCUUUGGUCGCAAAAAGGGACCAAUUUGUUGCCGACUUGGAAGAAAUGAAGAAAAAAUAUUGAUAAAUGUUUUGAAAUAAUUCAUCGACCCAACAUUGUUCCAAUGGAUGAGGAAUCGGUGACAAAUCCCGAUGAACAUGUGAUGGUGCCUUCUCUUAGGCAUUCUCCUACAGUAGGUGGUCCAGAACUCACCACACUUCUAACUACAAACCU
Long non-coding RNA from Ananas comosus (pineapple), 881 nucleotides. RefSeq lists it as uncharacterized. NCBI's taxonomy places the organism in Eukaryota, Viridiplantae, Streptophyta, Magnoliopsida, Poales, Bromeliaceae. The record is from RefSeq and is a predicted model, not a curated record. The transcript is spliced from 3 exons.